RNAcentral lists this transfer RNA (84 nucleotides) under Flagellimonas meridianipacifica. Its description in RNAcentral is "Muricauda sp. sw027 tRNA". It matches the Rfam family "tRNA". From Rfam's summary of the family: Transfer RNA (tRNA) molecules are approximately 80 nucleotides in length. Their secondary structure includes four short double-helical elements and three loops (D, anti-codon, and T loops). Lineage: Bacteria; Pseudomonadati; Bacteroidota; Flavobacteriia; Flavobacteriales; Flavobacteriaceae. The record is from Rfam by way of RNAcentral. RNAcentral also lists the same sequence under 2 other names.
GCCCACGUGGUGGAAUUGGUAGACACGCUACCUUGAGGGGGUAGUGUCCUUACGGACGUGCUGGUUCGACUCCAGUCGUGGGCA